Molecule: ribosomal RNA, 501 nt
Filed under: uncultured bacterium
Lineage: Bacteria
Description: partial 16S ribosomal RNA
Rfam family: Bacterial small subunit ribosomal RNA
Source: RNAcentral
GAUGAACGCUAGCGGCAGGCCUAACACAUGCAAGUCGAGGGGCAGCACAGAAACAGCAAUGUUUUGGUGGCGACCGGCGGACGGGUGCGUAACGCGUAUGCAACCUACCUUUAACAGGGGGAUAACGGAGAGAAAUUUCCACUAAUACCCCAUAACAUCGAUCAAGGCAUCUUGAUUGGUUGAAAACUCCGGUGGUUAAAGAUGGGCAUGCGUUGUAUUAGGCAGUUGGUGAGGUAAUGGCUCACCAAGCCUACGAUACAUAGGGGACUGAGAGGUUAGCCCCCCACAAUGGGACUGAGACACGGACCAGACUCCUACGGGAGGGAUCAGUGAGGAAUAUUGGUCAAUGGGGGCAACCCUGAACCAGCCAUGCCGCGUGCAGGAAGACGGCUCUAUGAGUUGUAAACUGCUUUUAAACAGGGAUAAAGCACAGUAUGUAUACUGUGUUGAAGGUACUGUAAGAAUAAGGAUCGGCUAACUCCGUGCCAGCAGCCGCCGUAA